Molecule: long non-coding RNA, 2057 nt
Filed under: Setaria italica (foxtail millet)
Lineage: Eukaryota; Viridiplantae; Streptophyta; Magnoliopsida; Poales; Poaceae
Description: long non-coding RNA (SITA_LNC004216)
Source: RNAcentral
UUGAUGAUCUUCUUGUUUGGUCUAGACGUACCUUCAGUUCUGUAAACAUAUUAAAUUAUCAGAGCAUGCACAACAAAUCCAAGUUAUGAUAAACAACUGACACAUCCUGAUUCUGGAUUAGGAACUCACAAAUUUGAAAAUUGCUUUAUCUUAUUUGAUCAAGGAUAGGUUGUUGUUGUUGUAACGAUGUUCUUAUAUCUAUGCCUAACAUCUGCAUGCGAGGCACCCCUAACCCUUUUUUAUUAUUGUAAUUAACUUUCAAAAGUUGCAUAUAGACUUAUAUGAUGUGCUGUCUAAACUAGGUAGGCACCUCUGUCGGACCCAAUAUUUGAAGCCAGAUGUGUGGAGAGGUUAAUCACUCCCCUCACCGGCAGUGGAUGCAGCCACACUGCUGCCUGCAAAACAUCUUUAUUGCUUCAACGCAAGGAAGGCUCUAGAAGCAUUUGGUUUGUCCAUGCAGAUGAUCUUAGUUACCUGGUUAUCAAUUAGCUUAAGCAAAGCUAAUCUCAGGCUUGCCACCCUCACACAACAUCGGGAUGCGUUUUGCACGAGAAGCAACGGCAAGGUUUGCCUUCUACAGCAGUCUAGUUUCUUGUUACCAUUGUCUAAUAAUCAAUACCAUCUUAAGCAUCAUGCGAUAGUUGAAGCAGGAAACAUGCACAUGCGCUCACCUUCCGGUUGCAUUUCAUCACAUAAAAGUGCCACAAACUAGCAAUACAACGAUAGGUAGCUUUAUGUGAAUUCGCAUUAAUAAUCCAUGCCACACAUACAAUAGCGAUAGUAGAUAGAAAGUUUAUCAUAUAGUAGUAGCUUGAGUAACUUCCAUGUUGUUUGGUUAAUGCUGCCUAUGAUUGUUGAUGAUCUUCUUGUUUGGUCUAGACGUACCUUCAGUUCUGUAAACAUAUUAAAUUAUCAGAGCAUGCACAGCAAAUCCAAGUUGAAAAUUAAUUACAAUGAUAAACAACUGACACAUCCUGAUUCUGGAUUAGGAACUCGCAAAUUUGAAAAUUGCUUUAUCUUAUUUGAUCAAGGAUAGGUUGUUGUUGUUGUAACGAUGUUCUUAUAUCUAUGCCUAACAUCUGCAUGCGAGGCACCCCUAACCCUUUUUUAUUAUUGUAAUUAACUUUCAAAAGUUGCAUAUAGACUAAUAUGAUGUGCUGUCUAAACUAGGUAGGCACCUCUGUCGGACCCAAUAUUUGAAGCCAGAUGUGUGGAGAGGUUAAUCACUCCCCUCACCGGCAGUGGAUGCAGCCACACUGCUGCCUGCAAAACAUCUUUAUUGCUUCAACGCAAGGAAGGCUCUAGAAGCAUUUGGUUUGUCCAUGCAGAUGAUCUUAGUUACCUGGUUAUCAAUUAGCUUAAGCAAAGCUAAUCUCAGGCUUGCCACCCUCACACAACAUCGGGAUGCGUUUUGCACGAGAAGCAACGGCAAGGUUUGCCUUCUACAGCAGUCUAGUUUCUUGUUACCAUUGUCUAAUAAUCAAUACCAUCUUAAGCAUCAUGCGAUAGUUGAAGCAGGAAACAUGCACAUGCGCUCACCUUCCGGUUGCAUUUCAUCACAUAAAAGUGCCACAAACUAGCAAUACAACGAUAGGUAGCUUUAUGUGAAUUCGCAUUAAUAAUCCAUGCCACACAUACAAUAGCGAUAGUAGAUAGAAAGUUUAUCAUAUAGUAGUAGCUUGAGUAACUUCCAUGUUGUUUGGUUAAUGCUGCCUAUGAUUGUUGAUGAUCUUCUUGUUUGGUCUAGACGUACCUUCAGUUCUGUAAACAUAUUAAAUUAUCAGAGCAUGCACAGCAAAUCCAAGUUGAAAAUUAAUUACAAUGAUAAACAACUGACACAUCCUGAUUCUGGAUUAGGAACUCGCAAAUUUGAAAAUUGCUUUAUCUUAUUUGAUCAAGGAUAGGUUGUUGUUGUUGUAACGAUGUUCUUAUAUCUAUGCCUAACAUCUGCAUGCGAGGCACCCCUAACCCUUUUUUAUCAUUGUAAUUAACUUUCAAAAGUUGCAUAUAGACUAAUAUGAUGUGCUGUCUAAACUAGGUAGGCACCUCUGUCGGAC